Molecule: ribosomal RNA, 447 nt
Filed under: Pirellulaceae bacterium
Lineage: Bacteria; Pseudomonadati; Planctomycetota; Planctomycetia; Pirellulales; Pirellulaceae
Description: bacterial SSU rRNA
Rfam family: Bacterial small subunit ribosomal RNA
Source: RNAcentral
UCCCUUAACGAGCGAAACCCUUAUCUCUAGUUGCCAGCGGGUAGUGCCGGGGACUCUAGAGAGACUGCCGGUGUUAAACCGGAGGAAGGUGGGGAUGACGUCAAGUCCUCAUGGCCUUUAUGUCUAGGGCUGCACACGUCCUACAAUGCGGCGGAUAAAGGGAUGCGAACUCGCGAGAGCAAGCAAAUCCCAAAAACCGUCGCCCAGUUCGGAUUGCAGGCUGAAAUUCGCCUGCAUGAAGCCGGAAUCGCUAGUAAUCGCGGAUCAGAACGCCGCGGUGAAUACGUUCCCGGGCCUUGUACACACCGCCCGUCACACCAUGGGAGUUGGUUUUACCCGAAGGCGAUGUGCUAACUUCGGAGGCAGUCGACCACGGUAAGGUCAGCGACUGGGGUGAAGUCGUAACAAGGUAGCCGUAGGGGAACCUGUGGCUGGAUCACCUCCUUU